Molecule: long non-coding RNA, 465 nt
Filed under: Medicago truncatula (barrel medic)
Lineage: Eukaryota; Viridiplantae; Streptophyta; Magnoliopsida; Fabales; Fabaceae
Description: long non-coding RNA (MTRU_LNC006393)
Source: RNAcentral
UCAACAACUGUCAUUAACAGCUGUCCUCGCCGUUCACCUAUGCCGCCGAACAGGUGAUCUGGAUCUUGACCUAUGCUGCCGAACAGGUGAUCUGGAUCUUGACCUAUGCUUCCGAACAGGUGAUCUUGACUUAUGCUUCCGAACAGGUGAUUUUGAUCUUGAUCUAUGCUUCCGAACAGGUGAUCUGGAUCUUGACUUAUGCUUCCGAACAGGUGAUCUGGAUCUUGACCUAUGCUUCCGAACAGGUGAUCUGGAUCUUGACCUAUGCUUCCGAACUGGUGAUUUGGAUCUUGACCUUCUUACCCUGCAUAAAAAGGAAACCCUGUAAAUAAACAAGGCACAGCUGUAGUAUAAAUGGGAACCCAUACAAAUUCACCUGAGUAGCUUAUAUUGUUAUAUGAUGAUGGUAGUUUGUCUCAAAAAUAUAAACCUUAAACAUGAUUAACUUAAUGGCAACAAACCUGG